RNAcentral lists this ribosomal RNA (484 nucleotides) under uncultured bacterium. Its description in RNAcentral is "partial 16S ribosomal RNA". It matches the Rfam family "Bacterial small subunit ribosomal RNA", at positions 30 to 507 of the family's 1533-position model. The record is from RNAcentral.
AUUGAACGCUGGCGGCAGGCCUAACACAUGCAAGUCGAGCGGAUGAAGGGAGCUUGCUCCUGGAUUCAGCGCCGGACGGGUGAGUAAUGCCUAGGAAUCUGCCUGGUAGUGGGGGAUAACGUCCGGAAACGGGCGCUAAUACCGCAUACGUCCUGAGGGAGAAAGUGGGGGAUCUUCGGACCUCACGCUAUCAGAUGAUCCUAGGUCGGAUUAGCUAGUUGGUGGGGUAAAGGCCUACCAAGGCGACGAUCCGUAACUGGUCUGAGAGGAUGAUCAGUCACACUGGAACUGAGACACGGUCCAGACUCCUACGGGAGGCAGCAGUGGGGAAUAUUGGACAAUGGGCGAAAGCCUGAUCCAGCCAUGCCGCGUGUGUGAAGAAGGUCUUCGGAUUGUAAAGCACUUUAAGUUGGGAGGAAGGGCAGUAAGUUAAUACCUUGCUGUUUUGACGUUACCAACAGAAUAAGCACCGGCUAACUUCGUG